Long non-coding RNA from Onychostoma macrolepis, 4094 nucleotides. RefSeq lists it as uncharacterized. The record is from RefSeq and is a predicted model, not a curated record. The transcript has 5 exons. Lineage: Eukaryota; Metazoa; Chordata; Actinopteri; Cypriniformes; Cyprinidae.
UAUUGGGUCCAUCCAAUCCUGAGAUAUAGAGAGGACGGAGAGUUCCCCUCCUUAUUAAGGAGCAGCGGGAUUAUCACGGGCGAUUCAAAGUUUACUUCAGGAUUUCAGUGGCUCAGUUUGAUGUAGACCACCAAUUUCUGUGAACUCAGUGUGCAAGGAUCUAUAUACAGUGCUUUGUGCUGAGAGACAAAGUGGAUGAAUUUGACAAUCGCCAUUCUGGAUUUUGGCGUUCGCUUGUAUGGUGGCUCUGAACUGUCAAAACCCCUCUCAAAAUGCUUGCUACGGAUGCGAAAACGGAAAACAAAAACAAAAAUCGAACCCGAUCCUAAUUUUUUUAUGACGGACGAAAAUUUCGGAGGCAGUGUGUAAACGUGAUUGACAUAACGUGAGGUCGUAUUUAUUUUUUAACGUGAGAAAAGUUAGAGACAGAAAUUUCGGACUCAGUGUGCAAUGACCUUUAUUGUGAACAAUUCAUCCAUAUAUACACUCUUAGAAAAAAGGUUCUUUGGGAUUCUAUAUAGAACCCUAGGGUUCUUUACGCAACUCCAAAGAACCCUUUAUGCCAAAAAGGUUCUAUAUAGAGAGAAAGAACCCUUUUCAGCACAAAAGGGUUCUUUGGGAUGAACCAUGUGUUUAUACAUUAGGCUAUUUAAAAUUAUUAUACUACAUUAUAUUUGUGUUUUUCUUUCAAUUUUACUUUGACACACCUUUAUUCUGAAGAAAAUAAACUUAAAAUUUACAUCUGCACUGAAUCAACCUAAUUUAUACCAACAAACUGAUCAGGUAUAAAUACAUGUGUACUAGCAGUGUUUAGCAAUCUGGGCAGUUUUUAUCUAUUUAUUAAAAGGUACACGCUAGUCCUCUAUUUAAUCAGCACACUGACAUGAUUGCAAGUUCUUUAGUUAUCAUGUGAUGUAAGAUGCCGUGCAGCUCUUUUAUUGACAAGCAACAUGCUCAUAUCGAGCUCAUAUCAGUGUUUCAUUUAGAUUCUAAAAGGCUAUUCUUGUAACUCAUCCCUCCAAACAGAUGCAUAAAAUGAUCUUUGGCAUAAACGGCAAACAACUUGAACGUGUAUCUAUGCGCUGAUCAGUUUUGUCCCGUCUGCACAGCGCCGCUUUUCACUCGCGUGCCUCUCGCGAGAGUGAUCACUAAAAACGCUCGAGCUUCAACGGUUCACGGUGCGCUGACUGGGCUCAGCGCUCGGGAGAACGGCGAUUACAUUGGUAAGUGAGAAAAUUGAUUCAUUUUAAUUACUUUUACAUAAACCCUGGUAAUUUUUAGUUAGCAUGAUGUUACACGUUUCUUUCAAGAAGCUAAAAGAAGAAAGGUGGUUUAUCGCAUUGUCCAGGCCUGCGCAAUUCUCCGCCCGGAGAGUGUAUUGGACCUAUAUGUAUAGGAAAAGAUGAAACAAAGUCUCGAUCAAAUCGCCGUCAGACAGCCGUUAUAAACAUGAAUUCAAACCAAGAAGAACAAAGAGAGAAGCAGCUGAUGGAGAUGUUUCCUUUUUUUCUGUUGAUAACUAUGUUCAUCUAUCUGAGAGAGCACUGUUAACGUUUUAGCUCCACCUUAUCAGAGCUGAAAAGUGGAAGUCAGAGGAAACAUGACCAACCUGCUGCAAAACAAUAACACAAAAGGUCUGGACUCUGGAGUGCAGCAUUACUUGUUUGGUCAUCUACAUUCAGAUGAAAACACCACACUUCUCUCUAAUUCAAGAUAUCAAGCCUACUCAUCGCAAAGAGAGUUAGCAUCAAAAUGGAUGUGUCAAAUAUAUGGAUGUGACCAAUAACACAGAGAUGCCAGAAAUAUCUGUUUGCAGUCUACUUUUUGUUCAGUACAGUGCAUCCAAAAGACAUCACUCAGUUAAUUUCAAACAGCACUAUUUAGCCUUUCCCAGUGCUGAAACUGUCAUGGGUCCUUUGUUUUUAUUCUUUAAAUGCUUAUCUAAAUGUAAAAUUAAUAUUUAAUGCUUAUAAAUAAAAUAAAAAAUAAUAAAAAAACAAUACUAUAGUUCCCUUUUCAGAAACAUGUGGUUCACCAUCUUUCAUGGGUUACAGAACUGGGGAAAGUUGCAGCAUACAAAAAAAACAAAAGUCAGACUACUUGGUUUAUAGGGAAAUGUGGAGUAAAUACUUGACAUUUAUUUAAGGUAAAGGGUAAUGACCUCGUGGUGAGAUGCAAAAUACCCUAAAGGGUUCUUUUGAUUGAACCCUUAAAAAGGGUUCUAUAUGGAACCUUUUAGGGGUUCCAAAUAUGUAGCGCCUGAUAGAACCUUUUCUUCUGAGAGUGUACGUUUCAUAUUUUUAAACUAAUUUGCCCCCGUAAUUUUUUAUCAAAAUGUCAUAACUGGGUUUUCCUGUGAAAACGACAGACUUCUCUCUGGUGACGAAUGCCAUACUUCUCAAAUCAUUUAGUCCACUUAAACCCUUCCCCUGUAAGCUUGCGAGCAAUGCCCACAUCUUAUAAUCCAAUCAAGAACUGACGGCUAAAACCAAGUCCCCAUUCUACAUUUUUUUCUUUUUCGAAAAUCUAUUUCACUUGGAUGUAUGUCGCAAUACAGAAGAAAAGAUCUGCUGCUACUUCAGUUUCAUUGUGACUUUAAACAAAGACAUACAAUGCCAUAAAAAGUGGACGGUGAUUGUGUAGUAUUUCUAGGUCGCUAAUCAAAGACAUGGAUCAUGUGACUCUUAGUACAGAUGGUCAGAUGUUCUUCCACUGCAGCACAAGAUGUUCUUUGGAUCAUCACAAAUCAUGCUGAAGAACAUGAUCAUCAUUAGGAUAGACUAACUUGUGUUCAUGCAGCUCGAGUGCUGCUGUCAUUAAAGCAAAAGAGGGUGGAACCAAAAGCUACAACAUCUUUCGUCUAAAUUUUUUAAAUACAACUUUUCACUCAAAUUGUUAUACUGAUAAUAUAUGAAUGAAACAUUUUGUAUUUAAUUUGAAAAAUGCAAAACAGAAGCAUUUUCAAUAGCAAUCUCAAACAUUUGGAUUACAAUUUUAGUCAAAAUAGUAGUCAGGUGUGACAUGGCUGAUACUGACAACAUCGGGAGAUCUGCAUAAGUUGUUCUCCUCGAACAAAAAUCAUGGGAGCUUUACCAAUGUAAGCCUGUGAGUGAGUCUAAUGAUGACUCUGAGACAGAGCUUUCUUUUGUCCUUUUUAAUAGUCCUCCAAUGAAGACGGGAAAUGAGGCUUGACUUUACAUACACAUAAGAUGCAUGUGAGGAUUUCAGAGUCACAUUUCAGAAUGAUCAAAUCUUUUCUUCUCACAGCAGCAAAAGCCGCUUCAACAUAAUAAAAGUUAAACUGGAAUGUAUGACUGAAUGUUCAGGGAAAGAAAGAGAAAAUGGAUCCGACAAGGUACUGUGAUGCUGUUGUAAUUAGAUUUAACCUUCUGGCAGGAAUUCAGCUACAAUGAAAGUUGUUUUUUUAUAUGGAGUUAAUAUUGCAGUCACUUUGCGGCUCGAUAUUUAUUUAUACAGUUGAUAUUUGCAGCACCUGGAGAGGAAACUGUGAAAAGGAAGCUUUAUUUCCUUUGCAAGACACUUCAGAAAUGUAAGUAUGUAAACUAGAGUAGAAAAACAAAACUUUUAAGAAAUCUGUUUUUUUAUUGGUGCGAUUUUGCACCCGAAGUACCUUCUCUUCAAAAUGGCAGACUUCCUAACUGAAACUAAACACUAGAUAUGCAAUGUUUAAUGGAGAUUUUUUGCAAGAUUGCAUGUGGUUUCAUUCAAGUUCUCAAAGGGGACCACCGGACGUUUGCAAGGAUGUUUGAGGACACCCGUCAAACAUUUACCCGCCCCACAACUGAUCCACUUCUAUGAUCUUUUGGGUCUAUAUAAAAUCUGACAAUGUCUUAAAUGGAGUCUGAUUUGCAAACACAUCCAACAAAACAAGAUAGCAAUUCCCAAACCCGGUGAUACAGCCUGACGGAACAAGCCAAGGCGCCCAUCUUUUAUGCAUAUGCAUUCAGGUGUAAAAGCAAAAGUCAUGAAAUUCAACUCAAAUUUGAUCACUCACAGUGGUCUGUUCCAUUGUUUGUCUGCUCUGACAGGAGGUGACAAUGACAGCUCCGAGUGUUAGCAUGCGCUGAGAUGCU